This 721-nucleotide ribosomal RNA is filed under the name uncultured Nitrososphaerota archaeon. RNAcentral describes it as "bacterial SSU rRNA". It matches the Rfam family "Archaeal small subunit ribosomal RNA", at positions 8 to 737 of the family's 1478-position model. The record is from RNAcentral. Lineage: Archaea; Thermoproteati; Nitrososphaerota.
UUGAUCCUGCCGGACCCGACUGCUAUCAGAAUAGGACUAAGCCAUGCGAGUCAACGUAGCAAUACGUGGCAUACGGCCCAGUAACACGUAGUCAACAUGCCCAGGGGACGUGGAUAACCUCGGGAAACUGAGGAUAAACCGCGAUAGGUCAUAAUAUCUGGAAUGAUUUCUGGCUAAAAUCUAUAUGGCCCCUGGAUUGGACUGCGGCCGAUCAGGCUGUUGGUGAGGUAAUGACCCACCAAACCUAAAACCGGUACGGGCUCUGAGAGGAGAAGCCCGGAGAUGGGCACUGAGACAAGGGCCCAGGCCCUAUGGGGCGCAGCAGGCGCGAAAACUCUGCAAUAAGCGAAAGCUUGACAGGGUUAUUCUGAGUGAUUUCCGCUAAGGAAAUCUUUUGGCACCUCUAAAAAUGGUGCAGAAUAAGGGGUGGGCAAGCCUGGUGUCAGCCGCCGCGGUAAUACCAGCACCCCGAGUGGUCGGGACGAUUAUUGGGCCUAAAGCAUCCGUAGCCGGUUCUACAAGUCUUCCGUUAAAUCCACCUGCUUAACAGAUGGGCUGCGGAGGAUACUAUGGAGCUAGGAGGCGGGAGAGGCAAGCGGUACUUAGUGGGUAGGGGUAAAAUCCGUUGAUCCAUUGAAGACCACCAGUGGCGAAGGCGGCUUGCCAGAACGCACUCGACGGUGAGGGAUGAAAGCUGGGGGAGCAAACCGGAUUAGAUACC